Molecule: small nuclear RNA, 18 nt
Filed under: Arabidopsis thaliana (thale cress)
Lineage: Eukaryota; Viridiplantae; Streptophyta; Magnoliopsida; Brassicales; Brassicaceae
Description: snRNA_02067
Source: RNAcentral
GGGCGAGAGUAGUACUAG